RNA transcript from Passer montanus (Eurasian tree sparrow), 1727 nucleotides. It is a transcript of the gene named splicing factor 3A subunit 2-like, with no coding region annotated. The transcript is spliced from 3 exons. NCBI's taxonomy places the organism in Eukaryota, Metazoa, Chordata, Aves, Passeriformes, Passeridae. The record is from RefSeq and is a predicted model, not a curated record.
AGGUGGUCCAUGGUGGCCUGAGGGUCAUUCAUGGUGGUCCAAUGGUCAUUCGAGGUGGUCCAAGGCGGCCUGAGGUUUGUCCGAGGUGGUCCAAGGGUCAUUUAAGGUGGUCCAAGGGUCAUCCAAGGUGGUCCAAUGGUCAUUCUAGAUGGUCCACAGCGGCCUGAGGGUCAUCCAAGGUGGUCCACAGUGGCCUCAGAGUCAUUCAUGGUGGUCCAAGGUUCAUCCAAGGUGUCCAAGGGUCAUCCAAGGUGGUAUAAUGUGGCCUGAGGGACAUUGGAGGUGGGCCAGGGUGGCCUGAGGGUCAUUCCAGGUGGUCCAAGUGUCAUCCAAGGUGGUCCACAGUGGCCUCAGAGUCAUUCAUGGUGGUCCAAGGGUCAUCCAAGGUGUCCAAGUGUCAUCCAAGGUGGUCCACAGUGGCCUGAGGGUCAUUCCAGGUGGUCCAAGGAUCAUUCCAGGUGGUCCAAGGAUCAUUCCAGGUGUCCAAGGGUCAUUCAAGGUGGUCUAAAGGUCAUUCACGGUGGUCCAAGGUGGUCCAAGGUGGUUAAAGGUCCAGCCAACGUCAUCCAAGGUGGCCCAAGCUCCAUCCAAGGUGGCCCAGGGUCCAUCCGAGGUGGCCCAGGCUCCAUCCCAGAAGAUCCAAGUUUGCCCAAAUUCCAUCCAAGGUGGCCCAAGGUGGUUGAAGGUCCAGCCAACGUCAUCCAAGGUGGCCCAGGCUCCAUUCCAGGAGAUCCAAGGUGGCCCAAGAUCCACCCAAGGUUGCCCAAGUUUAAUUUCAGAAGGUCCAAGGUGGCCCAGGCUCCAUCCGAAGUGGCCCAAGCUCCAUCCAAGGUUGCCCCGGGUCCUUCCGAGGUGGCCCAGGCUCCAUCUGAGGUGGCCCAAGCUCCAUUCCAGAAGGUCCAAGGUGGCCCCAGGUCCUUCCGAGGUGGCCCAAGAUCCAUCCGAGGUGGCCCAAGGUCCAUUCCAGAAGAUUCCAAGGUUCUUCUGAGGUGGCCCAAGCUCCAUCCAAGGUGGCCCAAGCUCCAUCCAAGGUGGCCCAAGCUCCAUCCAAGGUGGCCCAGGCUCCAUUCCAGGAGAUCCAAGGUGGCCCAAGAUCCACCCAAGGUUGCCCAAGUUUAAUUUCAGAAGGUCCAAGGUGGCCCAGGCUCCAUCCGAAGUGGCCCAAGCUCCAUCCAAGGUUGCCCCGGGUCCUUCCGAGGUGGCCCAGGCUCCAUCUGAGGUGGCCCAAGCUCCAUUCCAGAAGGUCCAAGGUGGCCCCAGGUCCUUCCGAGGUGGCCCAAGAUCCAUCCGAGGUGGCCCAAGGUCCAUUCCAGAAGAUUCCAAGGUUCUUCUGAGGUGGCCCAGGCUCCAUCCAAGGUGGCCCAGGCUCCAUCCAAGGUGGCCCAGGCUCCAUUCCAGGAGAUCCAAGGUGGCCCAAGAUCCACCCAAGGUUGCCCAAGUUUAAUUUCAGAAGGUCCAAGGUGGCCCAGGCUCCAUCCGAAGUGGCCCAAGCUCCAUCCAAGGUUGCCCCGGGUCCUUCCGAGGUGGCCCAGGCUCCAUCUGAGGUGGCCCAAGCUCCAUUCCAGAAGGUCCAAGGUGGCCCCAGAUCCUUCCGAGGUGGCCCAAGGUCCAUUCCAGAAGAUUCCAAGGUUCUUCUGAGGUGGCCCAGGCUCCAUCCAAGGUGGCCCAAGAUCAUUCCGAGGUGGCCCAGGCUCCAUCCGAGGUGGCCCAAGGUGGCCCAGGCUCCA